This 253-nucleotide ribosomal RNA is filed under the name uncultured bacterium. RNAcentral's name for it is "partial 16S ribosomal RNA". It matches the Rfam family "Bacterial small subunit ribosomal RNA", at positions 524 to 776 of the family's 1533-position model. The record is from RNAcentral.
UACAGAGGGUGCGAGCGUUAAUCGGAAUUACUGGGCGUAAAGCGCACGUAGGCGGCCUUCUAAGUCGAACGUGAAAUCCCCGGGCUCAACCCGGGAACUGCGUCCGAUACUGGAAGGCUUGAAUCCGGGAGAGGGAUGUGGAAUUCCAGGUGUAGCGGUGAAAUGCGUAGAUAUCUGGAGGAACACCGGUGGCGAAGGCGACAUCCUGGACCGGUAUUGACGCUGAGGCGCGAAAGCCAGGGGAGCAAACGGG